GUCGUAACAAGGUUUCCGUAGGUGAACCUGCGGAAGGAUCAUUACCGAGUGAGGGCCCUCUGGGUCCAACCUCCCACCCGUGUUUAUUUUACCUUGUUGCUUCGGCGGGCCCGCCUUUACUGGCCGCCGGGGGGCUCACGCUCCCGGGCCCGCGCCCGCCGAAGACACCCCCGAACUCUGUCUGAAGAUUGCAGUCUGAGUGAAAACGAAAUUAUUUAAAACUUUCAACAACGGAUCUCUUGGUUCCGGCAUCGAUGAAGAACGCAGCGAAAUGCGAUACGUAAUGUGAAUUGCAAAUUCAGUGAAUCAUCGAGUCUUUGAACGCACAUUGCGCCCCCUGGUAUUCCGGGGGGCAUGCCUGUCCGAGCGUCAUUGCUGCCCUCAAGCCCGGCUUGUGUGUUGGGCCCCGUCCCCCGAUCCCGGGGGACGGGCCCGAAAGGCAGCGGCGGCACCGCGUCCGGUCCUCGAGCGUAUGGGGCUUUGUCACCCGCUCCGUAGGCCCGGCCGGCGCCUGCCGAUCAACCCCAAAUUUUUAAUCCAGGUUGACCUCGGAUCAGGUAGGGAUACCCGCUGAACUUAAGCAUAUCAAUAAGCGGAGGA
This 600-nucleotide unclassified non-coding RNA is filed under the name Penicillium digitatum. RNAcentral's name for it is "partial contains 18S rRNA, ITS1, 5.8S rRNA, ITS2 and 28S RNA". The stretch from base 220 to 372 matches the Rfam family "5.8S ribosomal RNA". Lineage: Eukaryota; Fungi; Ascomycota; Eurotiomycetes; Eurotiales; Aspergillaceae. The record is from RNAcentral.